GGCCUACGGGGGGCAGCAGUGGGGAAUAUUGCACAAUGGGGGAAACCCUGAUGCAGCGACGCCGCGUGAGUGAAGAAGUAUUUCGGUAUGUAAAGCUCUAUCAGCAGGGAAGAAAAAAGACGGUACCUGACUAUGAAGCCCCGGCUAACUACGUGCCAGCAGCCGCGGUAAUACGUAGGGGGCAAGCGUUAUCCGGAUUUACUGGGUGUAAAGGGAGCGUAGACGGCAGCGCAAGUCUGGCGUGAAAUGCCGGGGCCCAACCCCGGAAGUGCUUUGGCCCCUGUGCGGCGCGAGUGCGGGAGAGG
This 305-nucleotide ribosomal RNA is filed under the name uncultured bacterium. RNAcentral's name for it is "bacterial SSU rRNA". It matches the Rfam family "Bacterial small subunit ribosomal RNA", at positions 335 to 657 of the family's 1533-position model. The record is from RNAcentral.